GACGAACGCUGGCGGCGUGCUUAACACAUGCAAGUCGAACGGAAAGGCCCUGCUUUUGGGGGGUGCUCGAGUGGCGAACGGGUGAGUAAGACGUGAGUAACCUGCCCUUGACUUUGGGAUAACUUCAGGAAACUGGGGCUAAUACCGGAUAGGAGGUCCUGCUGCAUGGGGGGGGUUGGAAAGUUUCGGCGGUUGGGGAUGGACUCGCGGCUGAUCAGCUUGUUGGUGGGGGAGUGGCUUACCAAGGCUUUGACGGGUAGCCGGCCUGAGGGGGUGACCGGCCACAUUGGGACUGACAUACGGCCCAGACUCCUUCGGGAGGCAGCAGGGGGGAAUAUUGCACAAUGGGCGGAAGCCUGAUGCAGCAACGCCGCGUGCGGGAUGACGGCCUUCGGGUUGUAAACCGCUUUCGCCUGUGACGAAGCGUGAGUGACGGUACUGGGUAAAGAAGCCCCGGCUAACUACGUG
This 468-nucleotide ribosomal RNA is filed under the name uncultured bacterium. RNAcentral describes it as "partial 16S ribosomal RNA". It matches the Rfam family "Bacterial small subunit ribosomal RNA", at positions 28 to 507 of the family's 1533-position model. The record is from RNAcentral.